Molecule: long non-coding RNA, 387 nt
Organism: Hippocampus comes (tiger tail seahorse)
Lineage: Eukaryota; Metazoa; Chordata; Actinopteri; Syngnathiformes; Syngnathidae
Exons: 3
Source: RefSeq, a predicted model, not a curated record
AAUGACACAAUGUUUACACAUUCAAAUGCUUUUUUAAAAUUUAUUAUUGCUGAAUAAGCCAUAUUGAGUUUGGCAACAAGUGAUGAUGCAUCACAACGAGAAUAACAAGACACAUUGCACUCACAGCGAAUAUAAGAAAAGGAGUCUUCAAAAAAAAAAAAAAAAAAAGAAGAGAAAAAGACCCCAAAACUCAAAUUUGUUCCAAUGCAAUCAAGACAUUGCAACAGAUUUUUCAACUUAAAGCUUUGAUCGUGAAAAUACCAGGCGACUUGUUGACCUUAAAACAGAUCAGAACUUCAUGUCCACACAAAGGACACAAUCAUCAUAGCAUGACAAAUGACAAGUAUGCCAUCUCUAAACAACAGUGAUAGCGUCAUCAGAAAGUAG